GUACUUACCUGCAGGGAAUACCUUUCCGAAGGUGUUUUCCAGGUGAGGCUCAUCCAUUGCACUGCGGUGUGCUGACCCCUACGAUUUCCCCAAAAUCGCGGAAACUCGACUGCAUUGCAUUUGUGUAGUGGGACUGCGUUCCGCGCUCUCCCCU
This 154-nucleotide small nuclear RNA is filed under the name Chelonoidis abingdonii (Abingdon island giant tortoise). Its description in RNAcentral is "U1 spliceosomal RNA (ENSCABG00000019890.1)". It matches the Rfam family "U1 spliceosomal RNA". Rfam says of the family: U1 is a small nuclear RNA (snRNA) component of the spliceosome (involved in pre-mRNA splicing). Its 5' end forms complementary base pairs with the 5' splice junction, thus defining the 5' donor site of an intron. Lineage: Eukaryota; Metazoa; Chordata; Testudines; Testudinidae. The record is from RNAcentral.